CUAGUGACUGAGGGAGGGGGUGACUAGUGACAGAGUGAAGGAGGUGGUGACUGUCACUAGUCACCCCCUCCCCUCCCUCACUCUGUCACUAGUCACCCCCUCCCUCUCUCUGUCACUAGUCACCCCCUCCCUCACUCUGUCACUAGU
Pelobates cultripes (western spadefoot toad) is the source of this 147-nucleotide non-coding RNA. The record is from the annotation of a GenBank genome assembly. NCBI's taxonomy places the organism in Eukaryota, Metazoa, Chordata, Amphibia, Anura, Pelobatidae.